CUGUGUACUUGGUGAAAUGCACUAAUAACCAUAUCAAGCCGAGCGUGGGCAGCAAUGAACAAAGUGACGCGAACAAGACCAAAGAUCUCGUACCUAGCAUUGGAGAGUUCUCAAAUCCAAUCCUGCUCCUGCAACUUAAGAGGCAGGUAGACCUCAGUGAGGUACUGGAACCCGAAGGAACUGAGGGCCUGUAUCUCAGCCUUUUGCUUGGUGCGAAGCAUCGUCUCCAGCUCCUUCACCCAGCCCUCAUUCUGCUUCACGAAGUCCUCCUCGAGCAGCUCUUUCCCCACCUUGAUAUCGUGAUCGGUCAUGGGGAGACGGCACUGCUCCGGCACUCUGUACUUGUCCAGGUCGCUCGGCCGGACACCGAGCCACUUGAUGUCCGGCGUCGUCAGAUUGGCACUGUCAUACGACAUGUUCUUGGAACCACACAUGUACACCGACAAGAUCUUGAGCCCGUAUGGAUCGGAAUCCACCAGCGCGAGCACUGGCAGCUUCAGCUCAACCUUGAGCCUCCGCAGGAACAGCCGGGUGGCGACAUCUGGCUGCCCCUUGGCCGUCAGAAUGAUGCAGGGGAAGCGGUUGUAGAACCUGUCCUCGGCGAGUCGCAUGAAUGCAGCGUCCUUCUCCACCAGGAGGAUGAAGAGCGCGUCGCUCUCGAUGCCCGAGACCCUGUCGACGUUGGGCGGAAUGGCCUUGCCGCCGACGCCCAUGCGCGUGCAGUCGAUCCGGUCCCCGUCGUCGGCGAAGACGAGGCGGGGUCCGCGCACGGGUCGUGGUCCGCGAGGGACCUGGCGGCGGCCUUGGAUUUGGAAGCGGAGGCAGAAGCGAGGGAGCGGAGGGUGGCCAGGAUGGAGGCGUCGGGGCGGAGCUUCGAGCGGAGGGACUCGGCGUACGACGCGGCCGAGGAAGCACGCGGCUUCUUGGAGCUGGAUGCGGCGCCGGCCGCGCUCGCACCGGCGCGGCGCUUUUUCUCCGACAUGGGGAGGAGCGAGAGAUCGGAAGGCGGCGGAGGGAAAUACGGGGUUCUGGGGCGCAGAUGACGGCGUCGGCGGCGGGGCUUAGCUCGAGCGCGGCUGCGAUUUGGUCUGGUGGUGACUG
Molecule: unclassified non-coding RNA, 1101 nt
Filed under: Zea mays
Lineage: Eukaryota; Viridiplantae; Streptophyta; Magnoliopsida; Poales; Poaceae
Description: misc RNA Zm00001eb013050
Source: RNAcentral